CCUACGGGUGGCAGCAGUAGGGAAUAUUGCUCAAUGGGGGAAACUCUGAAGCAGCAACGCCGCGUGGAGGAUGAAGGUCUUCGGAUUGUAAACUUCUUUUGUUAGAGAAGAUAAUGAUGGCAUUUAACGAAUAAGAACCGGCUAACACCGUGCCAGCAGCCGCGGUAAUACGGGGGGUGCAAGCGGUACUCGAAAUCAUUGCGCGUAAGGAGCGCGGAGGCGGGAUAGUAAGUCAGUUGUAAAAUCCUAUGGCUUAACCAGAGAACUGCAUUUGAAACUGGUAUUCUAGAGUAUGGGCGGGGUAGGUGGAAUUCUAGGUGUAGGGGUAAAAUCCGUAGAGAUCAAGAGGAAUACUCAGUGCGAGGGCAACCUGCUAGAACAUAACUGACGCUGAUGCGCGAAAGCGUGGGAGCAAACAGGAUUAGAUACCCCAGUAGUC
This 439-nucleotide ribosomal RNA is filed under the name uncultured bacterium. RNAcentral's name for it is "partial 16S ribosomal RNA". It matches the Rfam family "Bacterial small subunit ribosomal RNA", at positions 338 to 795 of the family's 1533-position model. The record is from RNAcentral.